Long non-coding RNA from Arachis duranensis, 558 nucleotides. RefSeq lists it as uncharacterized. The record is from RefSeq and is a predicted model, not a curated record. The transcript is spliced from 3 exons. NCBI's taxonomy places the organism in Eukaryota, Viridiplantae, Streptophyta, Magnoliopsida, Fabales, Fabaceae.
ACUCGCUGUCCGAUACCUGGUGGUUUCUCUCUUACCCUCAAAUCAGUCAUCCCGCUGGAGUUGGAAAAGAUGCCUCGGGUAGGUCGUUUCACGAAGAAAGAAAGCCCGUGUAGACACAGCAUGUCAACAGCCUCAAGUGGGAGGUAAUGCAGCUUCAACUUCCCAGAGAGCGGACUGCCCAAUUCUACCGCCCAAUUCUAGUGCCCCCACCUCCUCAUCUUUACGCCCCUUUCGUCCGCCCCGAACCGAACCACUGCCUGCUCCAUAGGCUUCCAUGAAUGAUGUUCAAAACUCGGAGUCGGACGCCGAAGAGGUAGACCAGGAGGCAGAUGAGGUAGAUUCUUUUGACCAACAUGUUGAUAAUCUUCUUGCUGCACAGAAUGCUCAGAAGCGCAAGGGACGCAAGACCACAUAAUUUUGGGAUGUUAAAACAAUUGAAUUCGAUGGCACAAUCAAACAGGUCAAACUGAGUGUGAAGGAAGCUAUGAAGCCACCUAACGGAAGAAAGGUCGUACUCAGGUUUAACAAUGCACUGCAACCAGUUGGGGAUGAAGCAGG